GGGAUCGCCUGAGUUUCCCUGACCUCCGUGGAAGAAAGGGAACUCGCCCCCGAGCCUCUGCGCACCUCAUGUGGCUCCUGAGGAUGGGUUUCAAACCCCUGAACUCGCUGGCGUGCUCAGCUCCAGGAGCGAGGCCUCCUAGCGCCAGGGAACUUCGUCGGAGCCCUUGCCCUGCCCCUGUUUCUCUGUGCGAGGGAGAAAGGAGAAGAACCCGACACGCGGCCCCAGCCUGUCGGUGAGCGAGCCAUAGCCCCGAGUGGCGCAGUCCUCCCUGGUGCAUUUUCCCUCUUAGUAAAGCGUAAUUAGACCGUAAAGUUUUCUUUUAUAUUGGUUUAAAAAAAUAGAGUUUACCAAAAAGUUCGGCUCGCUCUAACUUUUAAAAUACAACUCUAAAUACAUUGAUUCUUUUUUCCUAUCUAAUUAGAAUUUCAUCUAGUUUAUUUUAAUACUUAUUUCAAAAUUAUUCAAACAACUUUUGUGUGUUGUUUUAUGUUUGUGUGUGGAUUCAUGUAUUUUUCAAAAUAGGAUUUUGAAGAGAGGAUACCUACUCCAAGAUGUGGGGUACACAUCACCCUUCUCAGACCCUAAGGCAAUCAUCCUGAAUCAGAAUUUGCAUAAAAUUGUGUGAUGAUUGUGGUGGUGCUUGUAUUGCGUGAUUUUUAGUUAUCUCGCAUGAAAUAAUACCUUGCAUAAUAGCAUGUGAUGGAUAUUGUUGUUGCUAAGUUUGUGGAAGGCAAGUGUGAGUGCUUACUGCCUCACACUUCGUAUUCUACGUUGGUCUGGAUAACCUUGGAGUAAGGUGUGUCUCGUGAAAAUGAGACCAUAGGCUGACACCUCAUGGGACGGGAGUGGUCAGUGAAGGCAUGUCGGGGUAGGAUGGUAGUAACCCAGAGAUAAUCUCUUCAACAAUAUGGUGUGGUACUAAUCCUUGCAAGAAAAAUAUUAAACCUCGUAAGUCGAUCGUAGAUCGAGUCUAGACUGUCUGUCAUCUUACCCUUCGUGCUACCACAGUUUCUUGGAUAAUGGGUUCGGUGUAGUCAGUCAUAGACCUAUUAUGGGUCACACACCAAGUAGAGGGGCCGAGAUUAAGGUAUCCAGGGCCCUGGACUAAAUCCAGUCAUCCUGUCACGGGGCAUGGGUGUUUCCGGUCUGGGACCGGAAGGGAGGGCACUCUCCAUGAGCGUGCGAUAUAAAUUUUGAUCCCAUGCUAGUCGAGGUCGGAGCCUCCCCGUCUUAUGGUUUUGCCUUGGUAGCGUAGUCCGGGUGAAGCCGGCCUUCGCAGAGGAAAAAUCGGUGUAUGCUGGUUCUGAGAGUCUGUUUCUAAAAUACCAUACGCGGGAUUAGUCUCAGAGACUAUUGGAACCCGUGAGCUGUGGUUAAAGAGUACCCCCUCUGCAGAGUCAAAACUAUUCUAGUAGCCAUGUCCAUGGUCAAGGACAACUGGUUGACUAGUCAAGUAUCGGUCUGAGUGUAGAUCUUCGGAGGAUGUUAUAGAAAUCGUGAGACUAAUCUGAAAAUGUGGUGGAUGACCAUACUAUUAUUAUUACUGUGGACUAACCCCUAUGAUUAUGUUUGUUGAAUAUCCCUCGGACGGUUCUACCUCCUAGAUAUUAUUCACUUAUUAUUAUUUCUUAUAAGCCCUUUCAGUUGUUUCGCUCAGACGCCCGACUGAUGCAUGCUUAUUAUUAUUUAUUAUAAGCACUUUCUGUGGUGUCACUCAGAUGCCCAACUGAGGCAUGCUUAAUAUUAUUUCUUAUAAGCCCUUUCUGUGGUGUCGCUCAGACGCCCGACUGCGGUGCGCAUAUUAUUACUCCUUCAGUUUUACCUUCCUUGCUUGUUUAUACAAAAUUGGUGGGAAAAUAGCGUAUCUGCAUAAAUGCAAUCAUGAUUUGAACUCUAAUGGCAUGAUAUAAUUUUUAGUGGAAAUUUGCAUGCAUCUCACCUGCUUUAACUUAUUUUUUUUCUUGAUGUUUGCGAGUACAUUCAAAGUACUCACUGGCUUGUCCCUGGCUAUUGUCUUGGCCAGAUCGCUUUCAGAGAGGCGCACGAUGUCGUCAACCCCAGAACCUAGGAGUCAAGGAUAGCAGCCUUGUGAGAUAGGAAUUUAUCCAGGCUAGUUGUUCUUGUGGGAAUGGAGUCCCAUGGGCACUGGAGAUUCCUCGAGUCGCUUCCGC
Molecule: long non-coding RNA, 2174 nt
Filed under: Hordeum vulgare
Lineage: Eukaryota; Viridiplantae; Streptophyta; Magnoliopsida; Poales; Poaceae
Description: long non-coding RNA (HVUL_LNC016435)
Source: RNAcentral